UACGUACGGGAGGCAGCAGUGAGGAAUAUUGGUCAAUGGACGAAAGUCUGAACCAGCCAAGUAGCGUGCAGGAUGACGGCCCUCCGGGUUGUAAACUGCUUUUAGUUGGGAAUAAAAAAAGGGACGUGUCCCUUAUUGUAUGUACCUUCAGAAAAAGGACCGGCUAAUUCCGUGCCAGCAGCCGCGGUAAUCGUA
This 195-nucleotide ribosomal RNA is filed under the name uncultured bacterium. RNAcentral describes it as "partial 16S ribosomal RNA". It matches the Rfam family "Bacterial small subunit ribosomal RNA", at positions 337 to 529 of the family's 1533-position model. The record is from RNAcentral.